RNAcentral lists this ribosomal RNA (1467 nucleotides) under metagenome. RNAcentral's name for it is "bacterial SSU rRNA". It matches the Rfam family "Bacterial small subunit ribosomal RNA". The record is from RNAcentral.
CGAACGGUAACAGGAAGCAGCUUGCUGCUUCGCUGACGAGUGGCGGACGGGUGAGUAAUGUCUGGGAAGCUGCCUGAUGGAGGGGGAUAACUACUGGAAACGGUAGCUAAUACCGCAUAAUGUCGCAAGACCAAAGAGGGGGACCUUCGGGCCUCUUGCCAUCGGAUGUGCCCAGAUGGGAUUAGCUUGUUGGUGGGGUAACGGCUCACCAAGGCGACGAUCCCUAGCUGGUCUGAGAGGAUGACCAGCCACACUGGAACUGAGACACGGUCCAGACUCCUACGGGAGGCAGCAGUGGGGAAUAUUGCACAAUGGGCGCAAGCCUGAUGCAGCCAUGCCGCGUGUAUGAAGAAGGCCUUCGGGUUGUAAAGUACUUUCAGCGGGGAGGAAGGGAGUAAAGUUAAUACCUUUGCUCAUUGACGUUACCCGCAGAAGAAGCACCGGCUAACUCCGUGCCAGCAGCCGCGGUAAUACGGAGGGUGCAAGCGUUAAUCGGAAUUACUGGGCGUAAAGCGCACGCAGGCGGUUUGUUAAGUCAGAUGUGAAAUCCCCGGGCUCAACCUGGGAACUGCAUCUGAUACUGGCAAGCUUGAGUCUCGUAGAGGGGGGUAGAAUUCCAGGUGUAGCGGUGAAAUGCGUAGAGAUCUGGAGGAAUACCGGUGGCGAAGGCGGCCCCCUGGACGAAGACUGACGCUCAGGUGCGAAAGCGUGGGGAGCAAACAGGAUUAGAUACCCUGGUAGUCCACGCCGUAAACGAUGUCGACUUGGAGGUUGUGCCCUUGAGGCGUGGCUUCCGGAGCUAACGCGUUAAGUCGACCGCCUGGGGAGUACGGCCGCAAGGUUAAAACUCAAAUGAAUUGACGGGGGCCCGCACAAGCGGUGGAGCAUGUGGUUUAAUUCGAUGCAACGCGAAGAACCUUACCUGGUCUUGACAUCCACGGAAGUUUUCAGAGAUGAGAAUGUGCCUUCGGGAACCGUGAGACAGGUGCUGCAUGGCUGUCGUCAGCUCGUGUUGUGAAAUGUUGGGUUAAGUCCCGCAACGAGCGCAACCCUUAUCCUUUGUUGCCAGCGGUCCGGCCGGGAACUCAAAGGAGACUGCCAGUGAUAAACUGGAGGAAGGUGGGGAUGACGUCAAGUCAUCAUGGCCCUUACGACCAGGGCUACACACGUGCUACAAUGGCGCAUACAAAGAGAAGCGACCUCGCGAGAGCAAGCGGAUCUCAUAAAGUGCGUCGUAGUCCGGAUUGGAGUCUGCAACUCGACUCCAUGAAGUCGGAAUCGCUAGUAAUCGUGGAUCAGAAUGCCACGGUGAAUACGUUCCCGGGCCUUGUACACACCGCCCGUCACACCAUGGGAGUGGGUUGCAAAAGAAGUAGGUAGCUUAACCUUCGGGAGGGCGCUUACCACUUUGUGAUUCAUGACUGGGGUGAAGUCGUAACAAGGUAACCGUAGGGGAACCUGCGGUUG